This 1560-nucleotide ribosomal RNA is filed under the name metagenome. RNAcentral's name for it is "bacterial LSU rRNA". It matches the Rfam family "Bacterial large subunit ribosomal RNA", at positions 1383 to 2925 of the family's 2925-position model. The record is from RNAcentral.
GUCGACCCCUAAGGCGAGGCCGAAAGGCGUAGUCGAUGGGAAACAGGUUAAUAUUCCUGUACUUGGUGUUACUGCGAAGGGGGGACGGAGAAGGCUAUGUUGGCCGGGCGACGGUUGUCCCGGUUUAAGCGUGUAGGCUGGUCUUCCAGGCAAAUCCGGAAAAUCAAGGCUGAGGCGUGAUGACGACGCACUACGGUGCUGAAGCAACAAAUGCCCUGCUUCCAGGAAAAGCCUCUAAGCAUCAGGUAACAUCAAAUCGUACCCCAAACCGACACAGGUGGUCAGGUAGAGAAUACCAAGGCGCUUGAGAGAACUCGGGUGAAGGAACUAGGCAAAAUGGUGCCGUAACUUCGGGAGAAGGCACGCUGAUAUGUAGGUGAAGCGACUUGCUCGUGGAGCUGAAAUCAGUCGAAGAUACCAGCUGGCUGCAACUGUUUAUUAAAAACACAGCACUGUGCAAACACGAAAGUGGACGUACACGGUGUGACGCCUGCCCGGUGCCGGAAGGUUAAUUGAUGGGGUUAGCGCAAGCGAAGCUCUUGAUCGAAGCCCCGGUAAACGGCGGCCGUAACAAUAACGGUCCUAAGGUAGCGAAAUUCCUUGUCGGGUAAGUUCCGACCUGCACGAAUGGCGUAAUGAUGGCCAGGCUGUCUCCACCCGAGACUCAGUGAAAUUGAACUCGCUGUGAAGAUGCAGUGUACCCGCGGCAAGACGGAAAGUCCCCGUGAACCUUUACUAUAGCUUGACACUGAACAUUGAGCCUUGAUGUGUAGGAUAGGUGGGAGGCUAGAAGUGUGGACGCCAGUCUGCAUGGAGCCGACCUUGAAAUACCACCCUUUAAUGUUUGAUGUUCUAACGUUGACCCGUAAUCCGGGUUGCAGACAGUGUCUGGUGGGUAGUUUGACUGGGGCGGUCUCCUCCUAAAGAGUAACGGAGGAGCACGAAGGUUGGCUAAUCCUGGUCGGACAUCAGGAGGUUAGUGCAAUGGCAUAAGCCAGCUUGACUGCGAGCGUGACGGCGCGAGCAGGUGCGAAAGCAGGUCAUAGUGAUCCGGUGGUUCUGAAUGGAAGGGCCAUCGCUCAACGGAUAAAAGGUACUCCGGGGAUAACAGGCUGAUACCGCCCAAGAGUUCAUAUCGACGGCGGUGUUUGGCACCUCGAUGUCGGCUCAUCACAUCCUGGGGCUGAAGUAGGUCCCAAGGGUAUGGCUGUUCGCCAUUUAAAGUGGUACGCGAGCUGGGUUUAGAACGUCGUGAGACAGUUCGGUCCCUAUCUGCCGUGGGCGCUGGAGAACUGAGGGGGGCUGCUCCUAGUACGAGAGGACCGGAGUGGACGCAUCACUGGUGUUCGGGUUGUCAUGCCAAUGGCACUGCCCGGUAGCUAAAUGCGGAAGAGAUAAGUGCUGAAAGCAUCUAAGCACGAAACUUGCCCCGAGAUGAGUUCUCCCUGUCCCUUUAAGGGUCCUGAAGGAACGUUGAAGACGACGACGUUGAUAGGCCGGGUGUGUAAGCGCAGCGAUGCGUUGAGCUAACCGGUACUAAUGAACCGUGAGGCUUAACUU